This 1439-nucleotide ribosomal RNA is filed under the name uncultured bacterium. RNAcentral's name for it is "bacterial SSU rRNA". It matches the Rfam family "Bacterial small subunit ribosomal RNA". The record is from RNAcentral.
AGGGUUUGAUCAUGGCUCAGAACGUACGCUGGCGGCACGCCUAACACAUGCAAGUCGAACGAAGUAGCAAUACUUAGUGGCAGACGGGUGAGUAACAUGUGGGUAUCUGCCCUUUGGCCUGGAAUAACACGAGGAAACUUGUGCUAAUACUGGAUAAGUCUUUACGGAGAAAGCUUUAUGCACCAUUGGAUGAGCCCGCACUUGAUUAGUUUGUUGGUGGGGUAAUGGCCUACCAAGACUGUGAUCAAUAGCUGAUUUGAGAGGAUGAUCAGCCACAUUGGGACUGAGACACGGCCCAAACUCCUACGGGAGGCAGCAGUGGGGAAUCUUGCACAAUGGAGGAAACUCUGAUGCAGCGAUGCCGCGUGAGUGAAGAAGGCCCUUGGGUUGUAAAGCUCUUUCGUCGGGGAAGAAAAUGACUGUACCCGAAUAAGAAGGUCCGGCUAACUUCGUGCCAGCAGCCGCGGUAAUACAAAGGGACCUAGCGUAGUUCGGAAUUACUGGGCUUAAAGAGUUCGUAGGUGGUUGAAAAAGUUGGUGGUGAAAUCCCAGAGCUUAACUCUGGAACUGCCAUCAAAACUUUUCAGCUAGAGUUUGAUAGAGGAAAGCAGAAUUUCUAGUGUAGAGGUGAAAUUCGUAGAUAUUAGAAAGAAUACCAAUUGCGAAGGCAGCUUUCUGGAUCAUUACUGACACUGAGGAACGAAAGCAUGGGUAGCGAAGAGGAUUAGAUACCCUCGUAGUCCAUGCCGUAAACGAUGUGUGUUAGACGUUGGAAAUUUAUUUUCAGUGUCGCAGCGAAAGCGAUAAACACACCGCCUGGGGAGUACGACCGCAAGGUUAAAACUCAAAUGAAUUGACGGGGACCCGCACAAGUAGUGGAGCAUGUGGUUUAAUUCGAAGAUACGCGCAGAACCUUACCAACACUUGACAUGUUCGUCGCGACUUUAAGAGAUUAAAGUUUUCGGUUCGGCCGGACGAAACACAGGUGCUGCAUGGCUGUCGUCAGCUCGUGUCGUGAGAUGUUGGGUUAAGUCCCGCAACGAGCGCAACCCUCACUUUUAGUUGCCAUCAUUUAGUUGGGCACUCUGAAAGAACUGCCAGUGAUAAGCUGGAGGAAGGUGGGGAUGACGUCAAGUCCUCAUGGCCCUUACGUGUUGGGCUACACACGUGCUACAAUGGUAUCUACAACAGGAAGCAAGACUGCGAAGUUAAGCAAAUCCUUAAAAGAUACCUCAGUUCGGAUUGCACUCUGCAACUCGAGUGCAUGAAGCUGGAAUUACUAGUAAUCGUGGAUCAGCGUGCCACGGUGAAUGCGUUCCCGGGUCUUGUACACACCGCCCGUCACACCAUGGGAGUUGGUUCUACCUUAAGGCAAGGUUUAAAACCCUUGACCACGGUAUAGUCAGCGACUGGGGUGAAGUCGUAACAAGGUAACCGUA